AGAGUUUGAUCCUGGCUCANAACGAACGCUGGCGGCAGGCCUAACACAUGCAAGUCGAGCGCGCCCUUCGGGGUGAGCGGCGGACGGGUUAGUAACGCGUGGGAACGUGCCCAGAUCUAAGGAAUAGCCACUGGAAACGGUGAGUAAUACCUUAUACGCCCUUCGGGGGAAAGAUUUAUCGGAUUUGGAUCGGCCCGCGUUAGAUUAGAUAGUUGGUGGGGUAAUGGCCUACCAAGUCUACGAUCUAUAGCUGGUUUUAGAGGAUGAUCAGCAACACUGGGACUGAGACACGGCCCAGACUCCUACGGGAGGCAGCAGUGGGGAAUCUUGGACAAUGGGCGCAAGCCUGAUCCAGCCAUGCCGCGUGAGUGAUGAAGGCCUUAGGGUCGUAAAGCUCUUUCGCCUGUGAUGAUAAUGACAGUAGCAGGUAAAGAAACCCCGGCUAACUCCGUGCCAGCAGCCGCGGUAAUACGGAGGGGGUUAGCGUUGUUCGGAAUUACUGGGCGUAAAGCGCGCGUAGGCGGACUAUUAAGUUAGAGGUGAAAUCCCGGGGCUCAACCCCGGAACUGCCUUUAAUACUGGU
This 583-nucleotide ribosomal RNA is filed under the name uncultured Alphaproteobacteria bacterium. RNAcentral describes it as "bacterial SSU rRNA". It matches the Rfam family "Bacterial small subunit ribosomal RNA", at positions 8 to 637 of the family's 1533-position model. The record is from RNAcentral. Lineage: Bacteria; Pseudomonadati; Pseudomonadota; Alphaproteobacteria.